This is a long non-coding RNA of Carlito syrichta (Philippine tarsier), 257 nucleotides long. RefSeq lists it as uncharacterized. The transcript is spliced from 3 exons. NCBI's taxonomy places the organism in Eukaryota, Metazoa, Chordata, Mammalia, Primates, Tarsiidae. The record is from RefSeq and is a predicted model, not a curated record.
CGUCCCCGCUCCAACCCCCGCGCACGCGCACUUUCCUCCAGACCGGCAGCCCGUCGCUUGGAGUCAAGGCCGCGGCGAGGAUCGGUUGACGUCUAAAGCCUCAUGGUGCAUGAAGAAGCCCAGAAGCGGAGGAGGAGUCAAGAAAAGCCAUCAGGGAUGGCUCUCUCUCAGUUGGGGAUCUACUCUGUUGCUGAAGCUGGAAUGAAGUGGCAUGAUCACAGUUUACCUCAGCCUUGACCUCCUGGGCUCCAGCAAUC